GUUAAAAGAUUUUUGUUUUAAUAUUCCUAAAAUGAAGUUUUUAACAAACUUGUAAAAUGUGCAAGGUGCCUAGCUUGGUGUAAGCCUUAUCUUGAGCUGACAUCAUAACGUGACAGGUAGGAAAUUUCUUGGGAGAACUUGUCGGGGCCUGGUGUCUGAACUUCGAUUUACCCAGACAAUAAGAUGAUGAUAAGGUAUCAACGUUGAGAUUAAGCAUUCUUUUUGUGUAAUUCUAUCUAGGUUAGUAUGGAAUUGUACCUUGCCUUUUUAUUGUUCUUUUUCAGAUCUUUCACUGUGUGUCCAGAGGAAAAAUGUAUCUUGUUUAUUCUGCAGGUGUUAUCUCAUCUUCUGAUUUUACAAAGAUGCCAUAUGUAUUCUACUUUAUGAAUUGAAUGGGGAAUGGAAGGAAGGUUAUCUAGAUGAUCUUGCCACAAAUCUGAGUUUGAUUAUUCCAUUAUGAAGAGAACAAAAGGGCGAUGAAAUAAGCGUAACUCUGAAAAUGUGUGAUACUAAUAACCGUAGCUGAUGCUGCAGUGAUUAUCACUUACCUUUGGAGUAGACACCAGCUAUUCUGCUCAAGAAUAUUGCUUUGUUAUAGGAGUCUUUUGGGAGCUGCCCAAACCACUGUACUACAGUCUGGCUCCAUCUUCCUGCAGGACUCUUCUGAUCUUUCUGAAAAGGGUACUUUCUACUCAGACUGUGUAGGAACUGUUCUGGCUUUGCAUAAGGAUUCAGAGCAUUACUUAACUUUGCCAUUUUUCCCUUCAGUGUUCCUGUUUUUCCUCUUGCAGUCUUCUGAGCAGACCUUGCUUUCAAAAGAGACUAGUAGGAAAGGUACUUCAGGAACGGAACCACUUACUAGCUGCAACCUUAAUGCUAGAAAAAAAGGACUAAAAAGCAGGAAUACUUCCUAGAAACAGCUGUGAAAUUAAAAAGGCCACAUCGCAUGUUGCAAAGAAUUCUUCUAUGUUCUCUCAAAGUAAAACAAAAGCAAGAGGAUAGUUGUAUUUGCAAGACUGCUCCCUGCUAGGGAUUUACAACAGGAUCGAUUCCUACAUGUUCGUGUGUUUUCUUUAAUUCAGCAUAUACUGCUUGUCUUCUCCACAAACGUUUUUGCAAAAUUUGUGCAAGGAUGUGGCUCUUAAUACCCGAUAAUGAGGACAAGGAGUGCAGCUUGCCUGUGUUUUAGGUGCAAGAAUUGUUUGUGCCUGGAUCGUGCUUGUCAAAAGACUGUGAUAACAACACCCGGACGCUAUCAGAGUAUACAAUUAUAGGGUAAAGGGUUUAAUCACUUUCUCCUUUUCUGCCAGGUUGCAGCACUUGUUAGGUGAUCAAACUGUGUUAAGAUCAGUAAGGCUUUACUGGGCAGCAUAUGCAGUGAGAAUUUGCAAUUUGAAAGUCUACCAUUCCAGAAAACCUACUUUAUGUAAAGAUUAGUUUUGUCAAAGUUCAGUUAUUUUGCAGAGAAGCAAAAACUGAGUAUUCCUGUGAGUGUUAAACUCUCCUACUCUAGAGACAAAAGUGUUAUUGCUUACAAAGUGCAUUCAAGAAAGGAAUGGAGUUAUAAUCGCAGCUCUGAACACCUUAUUGGUGACAAGGUAAACAAAAUGGAUUUUCAAUUGCUGAUUUCUAAUACAGAGUCAGUUAUGCAAUAUAAACGUCUAAGCUUUUUUCUGUAUCACAGUUUAAGGGGUCAUUGUACCAAAUGGAUAUCAUGAUUUGGGAAUAUUUUGUAGUAUUUCGCUAAACUUAAAGUUUUAAACCUACUGUUAUCUAAAUAAACAUUUGUUUUCUACGUUUUAUUUCA
This 1807-nucleotide long non-coding RNA is filed under the name Apteryx rowi (Okarito brown kiwi). RNAcentral describes it as "lncRNA (ENSARWG00000000077.1)". The record is from RNAcentral. Lineage: Eukaryota; Metazoa; Chordata; Aves; Apterygiformes; Apterygidae.